UGGCCUACCAAGGCGACGACGGGUAGCCGGCCUGAGAGGGCGACCGGCCACACUGGGACUGAGACACGGCCCAGACUCCUACGGGAGGCAGCAGUGGGGAAUAUUGCACAAUGGGCGGAAGCCUGAUGCAGCGACGCCGCGUGAGGGAUGACGGCCUUCGGGUUGUAAACCUCUUUCGACAGGGACGAAGCGCAAGUGACGGUACCUGUAGAAGAAGCACCGGCCAACUACGUGCCAGCAGCCGCGGUAAUACGUAGGGUGCGAGCGUUGUCCGGAAUUACUGGGCGUAAAGAGCUUGUAGGCGGUUCGUCGCGUCGAUCGUGAAAACUUGCAGCUCAACUGCGAGCUUGCGGUCGAUACGGGCGGACUAGAGUACUGCAGGGGAGACUGGAAUUCCUGGUGUAGCGGUGAAAUGCGCAGAUAUCAGGAGGAACACCGGUGGCGAAGGC
RNAcentral lists this ribosomal RNA (449 nucleotides) under Nocardia sp. RNAcentral's name for it is "bacterial SSU rRNA". It matches the Rfam family "Bacterial small subunit ribosomal RNA", at positions 261 to 722 of the family's 1533-position model. Lineage: Bacteria; Bacillati; Actinomycetota; Actinomycetes; Mycobacteriales; Nocardiaceae. The record is from RNAcentral.